This 335-nucleotide ribosomal RNA is filed under the name uncultured Acetivibrio sp. Its description in RNAcentral is "bacterial SSU rRNA". It matches the Rfam family "Bacterial small subunit ribosomal RNA", at positions 355 to 705 of the family's 1533-position model. The record is from RNAcentral. Lineage: Bacteria; Bacillati; Bacillota; Clostridia; Acetivibrionales; Acetivibrionaceae.
UCGGGAAUAUUGCGGCAAUGGAGGAAACUCUGACGCAGUGACGCCGCGUGCAGGAAGAAGGUUUUCGGAUUGUAAACUGCUUUAGACAGGGAAGAAAAAAGACAGUACCUGUAGAAUAAGCUCCGGCUAACUACGUGCCAGCAGCCGCGGUAAUACGUAGGGAGCGAGCGUUAUCCGGAUUUAUUGGGUGUAAAGGGUGCGUAGACGGGAAAUUAAGUUAGUUGUGAAAUCCCUCGGCUCAACUGAGGAACUGCAACUAAAACUGAUUUUCUUGAGUACUGGAGAGGAAAGUGGAAUUCCUAGUGUAGCGGUGAAAUGCGUAGAUAUUAGGAGGA